Molecule: transfer RNA, 72 nt
Filed under: Camelus ferus (Wild Bactrian camel)
Lineage: Eukaryota; Metazoa; Chordata; Mammalia; Artiodactyla; Camelidae
Rfam family: tRNA
About the family: Transfer RNA (tRNA) molecules are approximately 80 nucleotides in length.
Source: Rfam by way of RNAcentral
GGGUGGAUAGCUCAGUGGUAGAGUGUGUGCUCAGCAUGCACAAGGUCCUGGGUUCAAUUUCCAGUACCUCCA